UGAGUAAUCUGCCCUCGACACCGGGAUAGCCCGGGGAAACCCGGAUUAAUACCGGAUAGCCUUUCGAGCUCUCGGGCUCGUCAGAAAAGGAUGGCUUCGGCUUUCGGUUGAGGAUGAGCUUGCGGCGGAUUAGCUUGUUGGUGGGGUAACGGCUCACCAAGGCGACGACGAGUAGCCGGCCUGAGAGGGUGACCGGCCACACUGGGACUGAGACACGGCCCAGACCUCCGUACGGGAGGCAG
RNAcentral lists this ribosomal RNA (242 nucleotides) under uncultured bacterium. RNAcentral's name for it is "partial 16S ribosomal RNA". It matches the Rfam family "Bacterial small subunit ribosomal RNA", at positions 118 to 351 of the family's 1533-position model. The record is from RNAcentral.